This 463-nucleotide ribosomal RNA is filed under the name bacterium enrichment culture clone TC60a_1048. RNAcentral describes it as "bacterial SSU rRNA". It matches the Rfam family "Bacterial small subunit ribosomal RNA", at positions 28 to 508 of the family's 1533-position model. The record is from RNAcentral. RNAcentral also lists the same sequence under 2 other names.
GACGAACGCUGGCGGCGUGCUUAACACAUGCAAGUCGAGCGAUGAAGCUUCCUUCGGGAAGUGGAUUAGCGGCGGACGGGUGAGUAACACGUGGGUAACCUGCCUCAAAGUGGGGGAUAGCCUUCCGAAAGGGAGAUUAAUACCGCAUAAUAUGAGAAAAUCGCAUGAUUUUCUUAUCAAAGAUUUAUUGCUUUGAGAUGGACCCGCGGCGCAUUAGCUAGUUGGUAAGGUAACGGCUUACCAAGGCAACGAUGCGUAGCCGACCUGAGAGGGUGAUCGGCCACAUUGGAACUGAGACACGGUCCAGACUCCUACGGGAGGCAGCAGUGGGGAAUAUUGCGCAAUGGGGGAAACCCUGACGCAGCAACGCCGCGUGGGUGAUGAAGGUCUUCGGAUUGUAAAGCCCUGUUUUCUGGGACGAUAAUGACGGUACCAGAGGAGGAAGCCACGGCUAACUACGUGC